AUCCGCUUAGGGCCAAAGCUCAAGCAGCUGGGAAGCUAUUGGGCUGCAAGCAGGUGUGGCUGCUGCCUCUCGGAGCAAGUAGCGAGUGAGGAGAGCUCUACCAGUGGACACCCAAGACUUGGGCACCCAUGACCUUGGCAUCUUCAUCCAGCACAGUUCAAUAAUAGAAAGAUAAAUCUUCAAGGAGGAUUAGGCGUGUACCGGGCUUGUUCAAGGAGACCGCAGUUUGUUCUACUGAGGUGUCCUUAUCUCUCAGUGACCUGCUCGCCCCUCAGUGGCCUGCUAAAGAAGGUGACCUGGACCACAGCUGGAGAGGGGUAACUGCCAGCCAGGGGUACCAGAUGUCCAGCCUGUGCACCACCCAGGAGCAAGCUAUGAGAAGAAACGUCACCACCAAAGCAUCUGGAGAAGCCCACAUGUCCUCGGCUACCCCAGCUGAUGCAAUAGAUUCUAGGACUUCCUAUGAUCUCUGGGGUGGUAUGAAAGGAGGAUACCUAAGUGAUGUAGUUCUGAACCCCUACUCCAGGACUUCCUAUGUUGCCUACCCCGCUGUAAAGACCCUGCCACAAGUGUACCCAGCCCCCUAUACUUACACGUGGGUAAAGCACUGCAAAUAUUCGAGGAGGAAGCUUCCCGUGCCAUCAGUAUGGUCAAGGGAGGCCACCAGCUUUUAUCACCACCUCGAGAGCCAGUACCCAGAUGGCAUGAAAUCUGAUGCAUUUCCUUGUUCCAUGAGUUUACUACCCCCUAAUUCCUCAGUCUUUCCCACUUUUGCCCAUGAUAUUUCCAGGCAUUAUCCAAGAUGGGAACCAGGAACCAACCAGCCCAUCCAGGCCCAUAGUGAGGGGUCCACUUAUAACCCCUCAUUUAUAAGGCAUUGGGUGGUAAGUUACCCAGAUGCCUGCAAGCCCCAUCUUCAAAUGCCUCCCCAUUUCCUUUAACCCAGAUCCUGAGUCCCAACCCAGCAGCCCCAACUGCCUCUGGCAUCUACCCUUCAGGGUCCCCGACUUCCAUGUAUGGCAGCUGUGUCCUUUAGGUAAUGUCCCUGGACUACAGAACCCAGCAGGUACUCUCUGAAGCCUCUUCAAAAGCCCCACUUGGAUGGACUUUAGACAGGAUCCUCUCUUUCUGCACAGAUUUCACUGCAUACACCACACUGUCCCCUUUCUCACCUGCUGUCUGCCGCUCACAGAGCUGGUGACACAGUCCCACAAAGUACAGUGACUUAUGUGUUUUUUAUAUUAAAUAAAUGACAUUCUAUCAAUCACAUUUUUCUUAUUUUUCACAAGUUAAUGUAUUUUAAGGCCCAGCCUAACCUGCAAGUGCAAAGAGUACAUUUAUAUUUUGAAAUUUAUUGGCAUGGAAGUUCUUAUGUACUUCCUACUUGUUUUUAUUAUCCACUGUAUUCUACUUUUCUCUCCUACUGUUGAAUAUACUAAAGGAGGAAAAAGAAGUUUUAACAUAGGCUGUGGUUUAGCUCUUGAGUAUUUACCCAGAGCCCCCUGUGUUGAGGGCCUUGCAAAUGAUGGGGAGUUUAUGAGGCAGGGAGGUCUUUAGGUCACUGGGAGUGUGACCUUGCAGAAGGUGGCGAGGCUCCAGCCCCCUCCUUUUCUGGCCAUGAGGUAAGCAAUUCCACUUCACCACACUCCCUGUCAUGUGCCACACAGGCUCAAAGCAAAGGGGCCAAUCAGCCACAGCUCUGAACCCUCUGAAGCUGAGCUGAGUAAACCUUUCUCUACAUAAAUUGGAGACCUUGGGCAUUUUUAUAGCAACAGGAUACUGAUAGACACCAUGGGGUUGUGCUUCAGCAGACUGUUGACAUCACUGAUCGACGGUGUCUCCUAUCAUCCAUAGGUUAAGCUUCAUCUUGUAUCUUCAAGGAUAACUUCUGUCAAUUCAUUUGCCUUGAGUUCCUUUUACUAUUAAAUAUGCCAAUUUAAAUACA
Long non-coding RNA from Mesocricetus auratus (golden hamster), 1945 nucleotides. RefSeq lists it as uncharacterized. The record is from RefSeq and is a predicted model, not a curated record. Lineage: Eukaryota; Metazoa; Chordata; Mammalia; Rodentia; Cricetidae. The transcript has 3 exons.